Molecule: non-coding RNA, 109 nt
Filed under: Peptococcaceae bacterium
Lineage: Bacteria; Bacillati; Bacillota; Clostridia; Eubacteriales; Peptococcaceae
Description: SAM-I sequence
Rfam family: SAM riboswitch aptamer (S box leader)
About the family: The SAM riboswitch is found upstream of a number of genes which code for proteins involved in methionine or cysteine biosynthesis in Gram-positive bacteria. The SAM riboswitch acts at the level of transcription termination control.
Source: RNAcentral
AGCUUAUCCAGAGUGGGGGAGGGACUGGCCCUAUGAACCCCGGCAACCUGCCAUGAGGCAAGGUGCUAAUUCCUGCAGGUAACCGAUGAAGGAGCCUGAGAGAUGAGUG